UUCAUAGACAGUGAGGAUGUUGGCUUAGAAGCAGCCACCAUUUAAAAAAUGCGUAAUAGCUUACUCAUCGAGAGACCUUGCGCCGAAAAUACUUGGCGAUAAGCACUAUACCGAAGCUCUGGGUGUCUAGUUUACUAGGCGCGGUAGAGGAGCAUUCUCUGUGCAGUGAAGGGUGAUGGCGACUGACCCUGGAGCGCAGAGAAGUGAGAAUGCAGACAUGAGUAACGAUAAGACCGGUGAAAUCCCGGUCCGCCGUAAAUCCAAGGUUUCCCGGGCAACGUUUUUCGUCCCGGGGUUAGUCUGGACCUAACCCGAGGCCGAUAGGCGUAGGGGAUGGUAAGCUGAUUAAUAUUUCAGCACCUGCAAAGUGGAUGGGGACGCUUUUUGAAUUGUAACCAGGUUAUUGAAUUCCGAGGGGAGGCCUUGUGCCGAACCGUAUUACAUGAAGAAGAGCCAAGAAAAGCCACCACGACUAAAAGCAGCCCGUACCGUAAACCGACACAGGUGGGUGGGUAGAGUAUACCAAGGCGCAAGAGUGAAACCUGGUCAAGGAACUCGGCAAAAUAGCUCCGUAACUUCGGGAUAAGGAGUGCCCCUCUUCGGAGGGGCCGCAGUGAAAUGGGUCAACCGACUGUUUAGCAAAAACACAGCAUUGUGCAAAGACGCAAGUCGAAGUAUACGAUGUGACACGUGACCAAUGCCAAAAGAUUACGGUAAGAUGUUAGCUGAAUUUAUUCUAGCAAAGCUUCGAGCCUAAGUCCUGGUGAAUGUCGGCCGUAACUAUAACGGUCCUAAGGUAGCGAAAUUCCUUGUCGGGUAAGUUCCGACCUGCACGAAUCGUGCAACGAGUUGACCACUGUCUCGACCAGGAGCUCAGUGAAAUUGUAGUGCCGGUGAAGAUGCCGGCUACCCGCAGAAGGACGGAAAGACCCUAUAGACCUUAACUGUAAGCUGUUACUGUUUAUUCGAUUUUAAUGCUCAGCAUAAGUGGGAGACUUUGAAGGGUGCGUUUAGGCGCAUCCGGAGUCGUCAGGGAGAUACCACCCUUUGACAUUGGAUAAUCUAACCUCGAGCCGUCAUCCGGCCGAGGAACCGUGGCAGCCGGUCAGUUUUACUGGGGCGGUAUCCUCCUAAAGAGUAACGGAGGAGCGCGAAGUUUGGCUCAGCACGGUCCGUAACCGUGUGUUGAGUGUAAAGGCAUAAGCCAGACUAACUGUGAGACCUACAAGUCGAGCAGAUACGAAAGUAGGCCUUAGUGAUCCGGCGGUUGAAUGUGGAAUUGCCGUCGCUCAACGGAUAAAAGGUACCUUAGGGAUAACAGGCUUAUCACGCCCAAGAGUUCAUAUCGACGGCGCGGUUUGGCACCUCGAUGUCGGCUCGUCACAUCCUGGGGCUGGAGAAGGUCCCAAGGGUCCGGCUGUUCGCCGGUUAAAGCGGCACGCGAGCUGGGUUCAGACCGUCGUGAGACAGGUCGGUCUCUAUC
This 1483-nucleotide ribosomal RNA is filed under the name seawater metagenome. RNAcentral's name for it is "bacterial LSU rRNA". It matches the Rfam family "Bacterial large subunit ribosomal RNA", at positions 1082 to 2642 of the family's 2925-position model. The record is from RNAcentral.